Long non-coding RNA from Hemibagrus wyckioides, 2011 nucleotides. RefSeq lists it as uncharacterized. Lineage: Eukaryota; Metazoa; Chordata; Actinopteri; Siluriformes; Bagridae. The transcript is spliced from 3 exons. The record is from RefSeq and is a predicted model, not a curated record.
GCGGCUCUCAUUUUUGAUCCACGAAUGAAGUUUCACUUGGUUUUAAUCGCAGCCUCGUACAGCACAUUCUGUUCCUGAGCUCCGUAUUGACUUUUUCCACAUAUUCCUACCUCAAGCAACAAACACGAACUCGUUUUUACACGGCAUAAACGACGCCUACGGCUACAAGAGCAGACAUUCAGCGACGUGAUCCUCUUUCAAUUCCUAACGACUAUUCUAUUUCCGAAAUCUAUCGACCUUGCUGUAAAUCCAGGGUCACAAGGAGCCCGGAGUCUAUCCCAAGGGACUCGAGGUACGACGCAAGGCAGGGGACACCCUGGAUCCACUGGGUCGAUUUAGAGAUGUAACACAUGUCUUUGGACUGGAGGAGGAAACCAGAAAACCCUGAGGAAACCCCAGGAAGAGCAUGCAAUCUCCAUGCACACAGGGCGGAGUCAGGUAUCAAACCCUCAACAAGGUAGACGUGUUAACCCAUUAGGCCUCUUUGCUCCCAGUGUGGGUUUUCUCACUCACAUGUUCUUGACUGUAAUGAAGCAUUUCUUGUAUGUACAAAAACGUAUAUAUUGUCCAGGUUAUUUGUCCUACGGAGAAAAAAUGACUACUGUACCUUUAAGAGCAGGGAUUAAUGAUUAAUAUGAAGCCCAGCUCAGUUACUCACAUACAGCAUUAGAGAAUAAAUGAACAAAGCUGCGAUUUUAAGACGUGUGACUGCUUCAAUCCCAAAUGCUUUAAAACACACACACACACACACACACACACAGAAGAUAAAAAUAUUUCUGUCCAAAAAAAGAAUUUGAUGUUGUUCUGUUUCCAUCACGGAAGGAUGUCGCAUCAUUCUGUAGAAUCACUCCAGCGCAAUGAUCCAUGUUUUUCAUUCCCUAAUCAAUUCCUCAUUUAGGGAUAAAUUGUGUGUGUGUGUGUGUGUGUGUGCGUGUGCGAAUGUGUGGUCCCCAUCAGGAUAUAAAAACAUGACCCCACCCCACCCCACCCCCCAUACACACACAAGAAGGGUCUUUGUCACUAUUUUUAAAAUUAUUAUUUAUGGACCUCUUUCAAGUAGCAUUUUGCCACUAACUCCCACUCAUCCCUCUGCCCUCCACACUGGCCUACACGUCCUUCAUGGCCAUUUAAAGGAGCCUAAUUGAAAACAUACGUUCGGCGUGAAUGAAUGACUCAGACGGCCGUACUCCCACGCAUGGACACGCGCAUACACACACAUACAUCCACACCACCAGCUUCUCAGAGCCUUUUAAUUGAAGACACUUGUGAACGGAUGUGGGCACGGAUCCAGGACGUAUUCCUGAAAUUCUUGCACUGGAGAUGGAACCAGAUGGACCGAGAACUAAAACCAGCUGGCCAAGGCAAGCGAGGGCUAAAAAAGAGUCAGGACAGGCCUCAGAUGAGUAACUAUUGGGGUCGGGGUUGUGGUAUUUCGACAUCACUCACCCUCGUCACUGAUCAAACACAAGCUUCCUCAGAAGACCAGAAGAUUUGAUGGAAGAAAACCAGAGAACCCAGAGGAAACCCAUGCAAAAGCCCUCAGAAAGAAACCCAAGCUCAUGAUGAAACCCAGGGACCUCGGAGCUGUGGAACACGAUCCAACAUUUUAGCUUCUCAAAAGUUUCUGAACCCUCAGUGGAAAUGUGUAUAAUGUAUAAAAAAAAAAUCCAUGACAAUAGUAAGUAGUAAGCAGUUUGCUGAGCUAAGUGUGGACCAGGGUUAAGCAUUUAAGCCGAACAGCUAAAGUAUUUUAAAAACAAAUCUGAUAAAAAUGAGGUUCAUGAGUGGAUCAUCUUCUCUUAGCCAAUCAGAUGUAGCUGCAUCAAGCUCAUCCAACCAGAGACUAGCUAGAGCGAUAAAGGCGAGUUUUCACACACCUCAACAGGUUUUUCAUUACUGAAUAGAAGGUUCAAGCCCUGGCUCUGCCAAGCUGCCCCCUGUUGACUGUUGUGAUCUCUGACCAUGUGCUCUGACCCCAACUUUCAUUGUGCUCAAAUGUAUGUGUGACAAA